CUUCCUCCUCCUUCAGAUCUUCUCAGACACCCAAGGAAGACACACCGCCUUCUCUCCUCCUCCUCCUUUUCCUCCUCCUCUUCUUCUUCCUUCUUCUUCACCUCUUCGCUUCAUCCGUCAUCUUAAUCAGACUUCUUCGAUAAUGGAGAUAACAACGACGACGAAAGAAGAAGAAGAAGAAGAAGAAGAAGAAGAAGAAGACGAAUAAAUGGAAAAAGAAAACCGGUGAAGAUGAUAUUAGUGACAAAAAAUCCACAACAGAAAGAAAGAAAGAAAAA
This is a long non-coding RNA of Portunus trituberculatus (swimming crab), 278 nucleotides long. RefSeq lists it as uncharacterized. Lineage: Eukaryota; Metazoa; Arthropoda; Malacostraca; Decapoda; Portunidae. The transcript is spliced from 2 exons. The record is from RefSeq and is a predicted model, not a curated record.